RNAcentral lists this ribosomal RNA (360 nucleotides) under uncultured Desulfovibrio sp. RNAcentral describes it as "bacterial SSU rRNA". It matches the Rfam family "Bacterial small subunit ribosomal RNA", at positions 1021 to 1382 of the family's 1533-position model. The record is from RNAcentral. Lineage: Bacteria; Pseudomonadati; Thermodesulfobacteriota; Desulfovibrionia; Desulfovibrionales; Desulfovibrionaceae.
UAAAGAACCGGUGACAGGUGCUGCAUGGCUGUCGUCAGCUCGUGUCGUGAGAUGUUGGGUUAAGUCCCGCAACGAGCGCAACCCUCGCCUUUAGUUGCCAGCAUUCAGUUGGGCACUCUAGAGGGACUGCCGGUGUCAAACCGGAGGAAGGUGGGGAUGACGUCAAGUCCUCAUGGCCUUUAUGUCUAGGGCUACACACGUACUACAAUGGCCGGUACAAAGGGCAGCCACUCAGCGAUGAGGCGCUAAUCCCAUAAAGCCGGUCUCAGUCCGGAUCGCAGUCUGCAACUCGACUGCGUGAAGUUGGAAUCGCUAGUAAUCGUAGAUCAGCAUGCUACGGUGAAUACGUUCCCGGGCCUU